Long non-coding RNA from Pteropus alecto (black flying fox), 1803 nucleotides. RefSeq lists it as uncharacterized. The record is from RefSeq and is a predicted model, not a curated record. The transcript is spliced from 4 exons. NCBI's taxonomy places the organism in Eukaryota, Metazoa, Chordata, Mammalia, Chiroptera, Pteropodidae.
CCCGCGCUCCCUGCCAUAAAGUUGAUGCCUGCCGUUUCAUUCUUAUGUCGGCUCCUCGUGCUGACCUUCAACUGGGCGUCUCACCACUGAAGCCUUCCCUUCUUGAUCAGCUCAGCGUUGACACUUGGCGUAGCCGGCAGGAUGAGGACUGGAAGCAGUGACAACCAGCCUGCAAGGGGCUCUUGCCAACUGGGAUUGGGCAGUCAACAAGGACAAGGUCCAGGGACCUGGCUUAUCUGUCAUUUCUUGGGAUUUUUCUGGUCAGGAUUGUAGCUGGCUUGCUGCGGGCUAUCAAAGUGUGCCCAGGCACCACUGCUAAACAUUUCUUGCCUGGAGCCUACCAGGGAGCUUUGCUCCUGUCAUCCCCAGAACCUUUGGCAGCAGGUAAACAGGCCACCUGGUCAUGGCCCUGGACUAUACAGGCUGACAAUAAGGAACAGUGCCAUGUCCUGGGCUCACAUGUUUGCUGCUGUCCACAAUGUUUCCCGCUGCUGAGUGUGUACUGAACUACCAGUGGAAGUGGCCAAGGGACUGCCAUGGCACGUUACUCUGGCUACGAUUGAGAACUGGAUGUGGCUGCGCACCUGGAACACCACACCUGAAUGGGACCAGCGAUGGCGGGCCGUAGAAGCGCUGCUCCACCACGAUCAUCGCAACUCCCCACCUCUCAUGAGCUAUGCCAUUUCCAAUGGGUGGGGAUGGCUGGUGGGAGAACAUGUAGAAUUGCAGGAGCAGGCCCCCCAUUGCAUACAGCAAAAUCUGUGCCCAACUCUAUCAUGGGGUGGCUACCCCCCAAGCUGUGUGCUAACACCACCCUUGCUAAUAUUUCCAAGGUCUGGUGGGAUAGGUGACGUUAUGUUGGUAUAGCCUACCGACUGGCUACCUGCAGGGUAUCUCUGGGUCUGCAGGCACUAUGGCUGGCCCUACUUGCCCGCUGAUUGGACCGGCUAUUGUACCUGGUGAAGUGCCUAUUUAGCUGGAUGCAUAUUAUCUACCUUGCCCCAAUUGCCUUGUAAUUGGGAUCCCAUAUAUCACCCCUGGCACUUGGAGAAAUGGGCAGCAUGGUGGUUCUACCCCCUGGUGUUAUUCAUUCCAGGGGUGGGAUCCAUAGAUGUAGAAUUGCGGGUAGAAGCUUUAGCCCAGCAUAAUGCACAGGCAUUGAAUGCUACGUCAGGCUAUAACUCUUUUAAUGGAUGAAACCACCUAAAUGCAGAAAGUAGUUUUGCAAAACCACAUGGCUCUUGACCUUCUACCGGCUCCCCAGAAUGACACCUGUGCCUACUCCAUGUAGAAUACUGCAUCUACAUUCCUGAUCAUGCCAAACAGGCACAGGUAGCUCUCCAGGAAAUAGAUGCUUAAGUCCAAGCCAUCCAUGGGAGAAGACCUGGGAGAAGACCUCUUGACAACUUGGUGGAAUUCCUUGGGGUCCUCCAGCCAGUAGACAGUAGCCAUCCUAGCCCUUGUAGCCUGUAGCCUGGUAGUAUUUUGUUGUUCUUUAGGUUGUUGUUGUGGAUUGUGGGCCCAAGGUAGUGCCAUUCAAGCCAGAUCUCGUGCCACAACCCUGUAGGGGUGGAGCAUGGGUUCCAGGUCUGGCUAUGAUCCAGGGAUAGAACUCCGGAUUUAAAAUGUUACAUUAAUGUAGUAGGGUGCCUGUGCCUAACUUAUGCAAGUAUGACUCAGCUUAUUGUUUAUUAUGCAUGUGUAGCAGAAUGCCACUAUUGUUCUCUGAUAUAUGUAAAGCCCAUGCGGUCCCCUAGUCCAGAAGUGCACGCUCCCCACAAUAAAGUUAGUGCCUGCCGUUUC